AACGCACAUUGCGCCCCCUGGUAUUCCGGGGGGCAUGCCUGUCCGAGCGUCAUUACAACCCUCAAGCUCAGCUUGGUGUUGGGCCCCGCCGCCCCGGCGGGCCCUAAAGUCAGUGGCGGUGCCGUCCGGCUCCGAGCGUAGUAAUUCUUCUCGCUCUGGAGGCCCGGUCGUGUGCUCGCCAGCAACCCCCAAUUUUUUUCAGGUUGACCUCGGAUCAGGUAGGGAUACCCGCUGAACUUAA
This 241-nucleotide unclassified non-coding RNA is filed under the name uncultured Pseudeurotiaceae. RNAcentral's name for it is "sequence contains ITS2". The stretch from base 1 to 52 matches the Rfam family "5.8S ribosomal RNA", at positions 103 to 154 of the family's 154-position model. The record is from RNAcentral. Lineage: Eukaryota; Fungi; Ascomycota; Leotiomycetes; Thelebolales; Pseudeurotiaceae. RNAcentral also lists the same sequence under 1 other name.